GGAAGGGGGAGCUGGUCUAAGAGGGGGAAAGAAGACUGUCUUAGGGCCCCAUGUCCACAGGACACCUCUCCCUGCUCCAGUUAUCACGUUCCCAGAGAUAACCGCUCCUGCAAUUGCGUUUGAUAUAUUGAAACCGGCUGUGAUAACAUGUGAUCGAGAAGUGACUUCGGGCGUUAAGGGUUUCCGGAAACGGGAGCAGCGAUCGAAGUGUGCUCGAAUGCGUUCUAAGGGGUUCGUCGGACAACCUCGGCGUCGCAAGACGUGACGAUAAUCAUCCCCAAGAUGGCCACGUCGCUCAUGCUGGGGAGCACCAAACAGGUGGCCAGUGACUCCUCGAAAGGGGUGACUUUGUCUUGGUGCGAUCUUUCGGUCUAUGCGACCGAUCGUGGGAACAAGAUCUGCAAUCAGCUGAUUAAGAAUGUGCGAGGCGCGGUGCAGCCUGGUGAUCUAACCGCGAUCCUGGGAGGCAGCGGCGCAGGGAAAACAUCGCUGAUGGAGGCGCUAGCGUUUCGAACCUCUCCUGGGGUGAUAGUGCACGGAGAUGUCUACGCGAAUGGACAAUCAGUGGGUUCACCAUACAUGCGGCACCAUAGUGGAUUUAUGCAGCAGGAGGACAUUUUCAUCGGCACUAUGACAGUCCUGGAACAUCUUACAUUCAUGGCGCGCAUGAAGCUGGACAGACGAACGAAGUCCUGGGAAGUCAGACAAAGGAUCGACAGGCUCCUGAGGGAAGUCGGAUUGUCCUGCAGGAGCAACACCAGGAUAGGCUCAGGAGGAGACGACAAGGUCCUGUCAGGAGGCGAAAAGAAGCGACUGGCGUUCGCUACCGAGUUGCUGACGGAUCCGAGGAUCCUGUUCCUGGACGAGCCCACCACGGGUUUGGAUGCCCAUUCCGCGAACGUUUUGGUGGGCCAGCUGACCACUGUUGCAUCCAGAGGCAGAACCGUCCUCUGUACGAUCCAUCAAGCCAGUUCGGCGAUUUUCGACACCUUCCACAGAAUCGUCCUGGUGGCCGAUGGCAGGAUCGCCUUUGCCGGCACCAGCGAACAGGCAGUCAGAUUUUUUACCAGCCUAGGGUACGAGUGCCCAAAGACGUACAACCCUGCGGACUUUUUGGUCGCCACUUUGGCGAUCACUCAUAACGACGAGGACCAUGGCAGAAGGACUACGCAAAGGAUAUGCGACGCUUUCCUCACGAGCGACGCCUGCAAGGAACUCGACGUCGUUCUGCAGCUGCAGCUGCACAUUGCGCAAUCCUAUAACUGGAGGAAGGAUCUGCGAGAGCAAGCAUCCGCGAUGGUGGUGGAGACUCUUCUGGUUGACCCAUCGAGGGUUCAAGCAGGUCCUGCGAGACCCAUCGCUGCAGUUAUUAAGGAUCCUCCAGAAGAUGUGCGUAGCCACAAUGGCAGGCCUUUGUUUCGUCGGGGCAGUCGCUCUGGACCAACCAGGAAUCCAAGCUGUCCAAGGAGUGGUCUUCAUUCUGGUGGCCGAAAAUGCAUUUUUUCCGAUGUAUGCAACCUUGGCCCUGAUCCCUCAGGAGAUCCCUCUCUUCCUAAGGGAAUACCGAGGAGGGAUGUACUCCAUCCAUCUGUACUACAUCUCAAGAAUGAUAUCUUUGGUACCAGGAUUAAUGGUAGAACCGGUGCUAUUUUCUACGGUGAUAUACUGGCUCGCAGGACUUCGAAACACGUUCAGAGCAUUCGGUUUGUCCAUGUUGGUGGUAAUCGCCACCAUGAACGUCUCCACGGCUUGCAGUUGCUUUUUCUCCGCGGCUUUCGACACGGUGCCUUUGGCGAUGGCUUAUCUGGUUCCCUUCGACUAUGUGCUGAUGAUCACCAUGGGACCUUUUACCAAACUCAGUACACUGCCGGUCUAUAUACGAUGGAUUAAAUAUAUUUCCUGGCUCCUGCACUCCACCGAGGCUCUGACCAUCCUUCAGUGGGAAGGAGUCCACAAUAUCUCCUGUCAGGCUCCUCAUCCAGAUUUGCCUUGUAUCGCCGAAGGCUCUGUAGUUUUGGACCAGUAUGACUUCGAGGCUGAUCACUUCUGGCAGGAUAUGAUGCUCAUGGGGAUCAUUU
This 2078-nucleotide unclassified non-coding RNA is filed under the name Orussus abietinus. Its description in RNAcentral is "protein scarlet, transcript variant X5". The record is from RNAcentral. Lineage: Eukaryota; Metazoa; Arthropoda; Insecta; Hymenoptera; Orussidae.